RNAcentral lists this long non-coding RNA (689 nucleotides) under Physcomitrium patens. RNAcentral's name for it is "long non-coding RNA (PPAT_LNC007606)". Lineage: Eukaryota; Viridiplantae; Streptophyta; Bryopsida; Funariales; Funariaceae. The record is from RNAcentral.
GCAGGAAUAAAAAAGGCACAAGAAGAAGAACCAGUGCGAAGAAAAUACGAAAAAACUAUUCAUACAUAUAUAUAUUAGUGUGAUUUGCAGUAGAGAGCAAGCAGGAAAGCGAGGCCACACCGGAGCUACUCCUCGGCGCCAUGCAAAGCCAGAGAAUGCUCGACAACAGACCGCCGAGGCACAGAGGUACUUCAGGGUACACAUGCAUAUUCUCCCUAGUUUAGGGUGCAGUAGGAAUUGUCAUCCGAACAAAAGAGAGCGACUGCAAACCAUGCAUACCACCUUCGACGCACCUGGUCUGACACGGGUUCCCGCUAUCGCUGCUGCUGAACCCCACCAAACCCCUCCCCCGUUCAGCAUGAGCUGGGUGCACCCCCGUGGUGCAGUCAAGUUCUAGUAUUCGACGCAGGCAUUUCGUCCUAGCUGUCACCCAUCUUCUCAGACGCAGUCGCCUUAACGCGGAGAGAAACGCAGCGUCCCGUGUUGCUCCAUGAGACUCCAGCUGAGAAACCAACCCAGAUAACUGCCUGGCCCUACAUCUGGACCCGAAGAUGUCUAGCAAUAUCGUCGCGACUUCCAGCCCUAGCCGUAUCGAGAGAUCUGCGAACCUGUGAUGCAGGUAAAACGAAAAUCAACCCAGAUUCCCGUCGUGCUGGUUCACUGACCCUCUUACCAGAUAGAUGGUUUCU